This 177-nucleotide ribosomal RNA is filed under the name Olea europaea subsp. europaea. Its description in RNAcentral is "SSU_rRNA_archaea". It matches the Rfam family "Bacterial small subunit ribosomal RNA", at positions 1200 to 1374 of the family's 1533-position model. The record is from RNAcentral. Lineage: Eukaryota; Viridiplantae; Streptophyta; Magnoliopsida; Lamiales; Oleaceae.
AGUACAAGUGUGCUCGUGAUUCGUGUUACAGUAGCCGGGAUAAAGGGUCACGAUCCCACGAGUUUGAACUAAUUCCAAAAUCCCAUCCUCAAUUCAAAUUGCAGGCUGCAACUCGCCUGCAUGAAGUCGAAAUUGUUAGUAAUCACCGAUCAACCAUACGGUGGUGAAUUCGUUCCU